RNAcentral lists this ribosomal RNA (253 nucleotides) under uncultured bacterium. RNAcentral's name for it is "partial 16S ribosomal RNA". It matches the Rfam family "Bacterial small subunit ribosomal RNA", at positions 524 to 776 of the family's 1533-position model. The record is from RNAcentral.
UUCGGGGGGGGCAAGCGUUGUUCGGAAUUACUGGGCGUAAAGGGCUCGUAGGUGGCCAACUAAGUCAGACGUGAAAUCCCUCAGCUUAACUGGGGAACUGCGUCUGAUACUGGAUGGCUUGAGUUUGGGAGAGGGAUGCGGAAUUCCAGGUGUAGCGGUGGAAUGCGUAGAUAUCUGGAGGAACACCGGUGGCGAAGGCGGCAUCCUGGACCAACACUGACACUGAUGAGCGAAAGCCAGGGGAGCAAACGGG